Molecule: ribosomal RNA, 446 nt
Filed under: uncultured bacterium
Lineage: Bacteria
Description: bacterial SSU rRNA
Rfam family: Bacterial small subunit ribosomal RNA
Source: RNAcentral
CCAGACCCCUACGGGAGGCAGCAGUGGGGAAUAUUGCACAAUGGGGGAAACCCGGAUGCAGCAACGCCGCGUGAGUGAGGAAGUAUUUCGGAAUGUAAAGCUCUAUCAGCAGGGAAUAGAAAAGAAGGUACCUGAAAAAGAAGCCCCGGCUAACUACGUGCCAGCAGCCGCGGUAAUACGUAGGGGGCAAGCGUUAUCCGGAUUUACUGGGUGUAAAGGGAGCGUAGACGGAAAGGCAAGUCAGAAGUGAAAGCCCAAGGCUCAACCAUGGGACUGCUUUUGAAACUGUCAAACUAGAGUACGGGAGAGGUAAGAGGAAUUCCUAGUGUCGCGGUGAAAUGCGUAGAUAUUAGGAGGAACACCAGUGGCGCGGGCGGCUUACUGGGCAGUAACUGACGUUGAGGCUCGAAAGCGUGGGGAUCAAACAGGAUUAGAUACCCGGGUAU